Hyaena hyaena (striped hyena) is the source of this 598-nucleotide non-coding RNA. The record is from the annotation of a RefSeq genome assembly. Lineage: Eukaryota; Metazoa; Chordata; Mammalia; Carnivora; Hyaenidae.
UGCCAUGUAAGCUAAGCUGCAUCGGGCAGGCAGGGACAGCAAGAUGGUGUCACAGAGGCAGGUCCUCAUAUCCUUGUUGCUGUGGGUCUCAGGUGCCUGCGGGGCGAUCACGAUGACGCAGUCUCCAGCCUCCCUGGGUCAGCGGGUCACCAUGAACUGCAGGGCCAGUCAGAGUGUUAGCAACUACAUCAACUGGUACCAACAGAAACCAGGACAGCGACCUAAGCUGCUCAUCUACGGUGCAUCCAACCGGGCAUCUGGAGUCCCCGACCGAUUCAGCGGCAGUGGGUCUGGGACAGAUUUCACCCUCACCAUCAACAACCUCCAGGCUGAAGACGUGGCGACUUAUUACUGUCAGCAGGAUUAUAGCACUCCUCCCACAGUGCUUCAGCCUCGUACACAAACCUCCUUCCCAGGGCCCUGGGUCAGGGAGGCUUCGCUGCACCUGCUGCUGCCUCCCUGCUCAGCUCUGAAUGUGCACGUUCCUGGGUCUGCCUUAGAAGCCACCUCUCCCGAUUUCUUCCUUGAAGGGCUGUUUAAAGCCAAGAGGAAAAUUAAUGGGGGUGGCUUUUUCUGGAUCCCUUUUAGUGAAGAUUAG